ACCGGAGCUUCGAGUCCGUCCCCGGUGCUGCCUGCGCGUUCACCUGAGUCUCGCUGGAGCUCUUCUCGCCCGCCCACCUCAUCUCAACCCACUUUCCGCGGGGAGCGGCGCCAAGCUGGGCCUUCCUCGGAUCAGGCGUCCCCUGAAGUCGGCACGCCCCUCUGCGUCCCCCUUCGGUCCCGCUAGGACCCCGUCCGGGCUGCCGUCGCCUCGUCGCUAUGGCGCCCACCAUCCAGACCCAGGCCCAGCGGGAGGAUGGCCACAGGUAGGCGCCACGCUUUUCUGUUGCAGCAAGGCGGGGGAUCGGGAGAGGGUUUCUGCUGAACAACGUCACCAGCCCCCAGGCCCAAUUCCCACCGGACUCUGCCUGAGAGGUCUGGAGUGGUCUGCCGAGUCAAGUACUGCAAUAGCCUCCCUGAUAUCCCCUUCGACCCCAAGUUCAUCACCUACCCCUUCGACCAGAACAG
This 467-nucleotide long non-coding RNA is filed under the name Homo sapiens (human). RNAcentral's name for it is "HSALNT0259715". The record is from RNAcentral. Lineage: Eukaryota; Metazoa; Chordata; Mammalia; Primates; Hominidae.